GAAUUCAACUCCUACGGGAGGCAGCAGUAGGGAAUCUUCCGCAAUGGACGAAAGUCUGACGGAGCAACGCCGCGUGAGUGAUGAAGGCUUUCGGGUCGUAAAACUCUGUUGUUAGGGAAGAACAAGUGCUAGUUGAAUAAGCUGGCACCUUGACGGUACCUAACCAGAAAGCCACGGCUAACUACGUGCCAGCAGCCGCGGUAAUACGUAGGUGGCAAGCGUUAUCCGGAAUUAUUGGGCGUAAAGCGCGCGCAGGUGGUUUCUUAAGUCUGAUGUGAAAGCCCACGGCUCAACCGUGGAGGGUCAUUGGAAACUGGGAGACUUGAGUGCAGAAGAGGAAAGUGGAAUUCCAUGUGUAGCGGUGAAAUGCGUAGAGAUAUGGAGGAACACCAGUGGCGAAGGCGACUUUCUGGUCUGUAACUGACACUGAGGCGCGAAAGCGUGGGGAGCAAACAGGAUUAGAAACCCUAGUAGUCCAGGCGUU
Molecule: ribosomal RNA, 484 nt
Filed under: uncultured bacterium
Lineage: Bacteria
Description: bacterial SSU rRNA
Rfam family: Bacterial small subunit ribosomal RNA
Source: RNAcentral